Molecule: small nuclear RNA, 152 nt
Filed under: Medicago truncatula (barrel medic)
Lineage: Eukaryota; Viridiplantae; Streptophyta; Magnoliopsida; Fabales; Fabaceae
Description: U4 spliceosomal RNA
Rfam family: U4 spliceosomal RNA
About the family: U4 small nuclear RNA (U4 snRNA) is a component of the major U2-dependent spliceosome.
Source: Rfam by way of RNAcentral
AUUUUUGGCAUUUGGGGGCAAUGACAGAGCGAGUGAGAUUCUAACCAAUGCAUGUUAUUGUUGUUUGAAAACUAUUUCGAAACCUCCGCUUAGGUCUAAGUUUCGGUUAGACCCUUGAGAAUUUUUGGAAAGACUCCCUUUUGAGGAUAGCC